UACGGAGGGUGCAAGCGUUAUCCGGAUUCACUGGGUUUAAAGGGUGCGUAGGCGGGCAGGUAAGUCAGUGGUGAAAUCUCCGGGCUUAACCUGGGAAUUGCGUUGGAUACUAUCCGGCUCGAGGAAUGGAGGGGAGACUGGAAUACUUGGUGUAGCAGUGAAAUGCGUAGAUAUCAAGUGGAACACCAGUGGCGAAGGCGAGUCUCUGGACAUUUCCUGACGCUGAGGCACGAAAGCCAGGGGAGCAAACGGG
This 253-nucleotide ribosomal RNA is filed under the name uncultured bacterium. Its description in RNAcentral is "partial 16S ribosomal RNA". It matches the Rfam family "Bacterial small subunit ribosomal RNA", at positions 524 to 776 of the family's 1533-position model. The record is from RNAcentral.